UACGUAGGGUGCGAGCGUUGUCCGGAAUUACUGGGCGUAAAGAGCUCGUAGGUGGUUUGUCGCGUUGUUCGUGAAAUCUCACGGCUUAACUGUGAGCGUGCGGGCGAUACGGGCAGACUAGAGUACUGGAGGGGAGACUGGAAUUCCUGGUGUAGCGGUGGAAUGCGCAGAUAUCAGGAGGAACACCGGUGGCGAAGGCGGGUCUCUGGGCAGUAACUGACGCUGAGGAGCGAAAGCGUGGGGAGCGAACAGG
Molecule: ribosomal RNA, 253 nt
Filed under: uncultured bacterium
Lineage: Bacteria
Description: partial 16S ribosomal RNA
Rfam family: Bacterial small subunit ribosomal RNA
Source: RNAcentral